AAUCAGUUGAAGUUGGGAUCAUUGGUUCACAUGAUCUCAAACAAAUUCAUCAUCAAGCUAAAGCCACUUGAUCCCGCAACGAAGCAGCAAGUAUUAAUCACUUCCUCAAAACCCUGCAAAUCUGGCUCAGGAAAUCUUCAUUAUUCUGAAGUGGCUGUAAUGUAUAUCUCUAUCAAACCCUAUCUCCAGUCCCCAUGGGGAGAAAAUAUUUUCUCAGUUAAGUCUCAAUGCUGGUUUUCCGGUUUCUCUUUGUGGCUCAAGUCUGGUAGUAAUAUCUCUUACUACCAAUAGUAUUUCACAUUUUUAUCCAAAGCAGUAUUUCCUUCCUAUCUGAAUCAAAUUGAUGGGGAUUAUUCCUAUGCAGCCAUUAAGCCAUACCUUGAGCAGACUGCAGAGUUAGGUUUCCAGUAUUGCUUAUCUCUCCAUCGUCACUAACAUCCCUAUGUUACCUCACCAACGAUAUCUUAUGAAGCCCGCUUUGUAUUUGUCAUUUUAGAGUAGACUGUUGGUGGAAUCAAUUACACACAUCUAAUUUGAGAAGGAGAGUUACAACAAUAUCUUUGGAAUAAUGUUGGAGGAAUCAAUUACACAUCUAAUUCAGAAAGAAAUUUAUUAUACUAGAGAUCACAGGUAAUUCAAGUAGGGAGAUGGGGACUGUUGAGUGUUGACACAGGUAACAAAAGGGCAGCCCAGUGCAUUAAAGCUCCCAAAAUGUGCGGGGUCUGGGCACAAGAGGUUGUUGACACAGGUAGUUAGAAAUAAAAUGGGAGAUGAGAUGUUGGUGUGGAAAGUUAUGGAUUGAUUGUGAGGGGAAGUUAGGGGAGAGUCCAGUUCUCAUGAAUAUGUGCAAGAGGAGAUCUAGAGCAUCUGUUAACCCAUUGAUCAGACCCAGAGAUAGAGCUUUUCAUCAAUUAACAUUCUGCUUUCUUUCUAUAUUCUGAUCCUGUUAUAUGGGGUAUAAUCUUAACCAAAGAUGAUGGGUUAGGCCCAGUGAAUUAUCAAUGACAAGAAUAGGAAGUUAAAAUGAGGAUUAUCAAUGCCUGCAUUCAGAAGUUACACAUCGUCCAAAAUAGCAAUGCGUAAAGCUGGCCCAACGCCUAGGUAGGAAAACUAACUUCAAAGGAGGAGGUUCCUAAAGGAUUCUGUAUCAACUAACAAGUCUUUGAGAAGCCAUUGAAGGGGAUUCAGGAUAUAGUCUGACACCAGAUUACAGUAGAGCAAGAUGGGGCCAGGUUUUAGGAGUGAUAAGAAAUUUAGUCCAGUCUCCAGAUCAAGUGUGUUAGAAGCAGUUACAGUACUGUCACUGGAGGAAGUUUCAAAACAAAAAGAGGAAUACCAUGUGAAUUGCUGGGACAGGAACAACAGCUGAAAUUCAUCUUGAGGACAUGAUGAAACUUUACAAGGGAUGAGGCAGGUAUGAGAAAAGGUGAAUGGGUGAAAUAGGAGGGGUUUAUUGCAUCAGUUAUUCUGCAGUAUCUUUGUAUCUCAUUUCUGCAUCUCUGAUCUUGAAUCACAUUGACACAGAUGUCAUUUUCUUUC
Lotus japonicus is the source of this 1539-nucleotide long non-coding RNA. RefSeq lists it as uncharacterized. Lineage: Eukaryota; Viridiplantae; Streptophyta; Magnoliopsida; Fabales; Fabaceae. The record is from RefSeq and is a predicted model, not a curated record. The transcript has 2 exons.